Long non-coding RNA from Bos taurus (domestic cattle), 496 nucleotides. Lineage: Eukaryota; Metazoa; Chordata; Mammalia; Artiodactyla; Bovidae. The record is from Ensembl.
CGACACUGGAAUUAUUCGCAGUUUUCCAACAACUCACACCUCCUUAUGAGCUGCGCCACGUCAAGCCAGCCUUGCGCCAGGGGUUGGUUGGGGGCAGGGGCAAACAACAGCGGCAAAGAGGCUUUGCAGGCUCCGGGGAAAGGUGCCUGGGGCCAGUCCUGGGAGGCCUUCCCUGAACCUCCGCUGGAAACGGUCCACAGAUGUUUUCCCCAGAAGAUGUUGGAUUGCAGAAUAAAGAUAUGGACCUCAGAAAACAUCCUCUGAAGGGUUUGUCCUCAGUGGGUGAAGACUGGUAGCAUGAAGUUCAACAUCAACAACCAGAUCCUAGGCUUCCAGGUCACGGAAGGCAGUUUUGGGUCCAGCCCCUGUAGUCCUCAUCUGUCUCAUUUCUGUGAGAUUGGCAACUGACUCACUGAUUACCACUCUCCGGAUUAUCAGCCUGUGGUGCAAUCAGAAGAGAUUCUCAUCUCUGUGGGAUGGCUAAGUGUGCUUGGGU